Ictidomys tridecemlineatus (thirteen-lined ground squirrel) is the source of this 3145-nucleotide non-coding RNA. The record is from RefSeq and is a predicted model, not a curated record. NCBI's taxonomy places the organism in Eukaryota, Metazoa, Chordata, Mammalia, Rodentia, Sciuridae.
CUCUACUCUGGGAGAAGAGGUGACAGGGUACUGGAUAAACUGGCAGGCCUCCUCUCUAUAAUCUCUGACCAAAUCUCAAGAUUCCUGUGACUGUUCAAGAUGAACUGGCCUCCGGGACCAACAAACAGGACCAGCCCUUACCCUAGUUUCCCAGCAAGCUCUGGAAGCCCACAUUCAUGCUUCUCCUCAGUCCAUUCUUGGGGCCUAGCAAAGCACUUCAUGUGGCCCACAUUCAAACACAGGAAGUCAUAGGCCUGGAAACCCUGAAAGUUCCUCUCCAUCCCUCAUGACUUCAAGGCCUUGGGCUCUCUAGCUUCCUGAUCCUGAACAAAGUGCAGGGCAGGCAGGGGCCACCUUGUGGCUCCAUGAGGAACUGCAGCAGCCUUUCUAAAGGCCUCCCUGGAGUGCGCCAAGAAAAGGACAAAGCUAACAAAUACCAGGUUUGUACCCCUCUCCCUCCUCCCAUCUUCCUUCCCCAGCUGCCUUAGUCUUUGCCUUCCUCAGCUUCUCCUACUGGGACCCUCAACACCAGGCAGUGAUACUUGCCUGAGUUCUAGGUGUUGUGUCCUCUUUCUCCUGGUAAGUAAAGCGGAGUGGACUAACCUUAGUCACUCUGACCAGAUCAUGAUCUAGGUAAGUAAAGCAGAGUGAACUAACCUUAGUUAUUCUUUCUGACUAGGUCAUAUCAGAAAGCCAAGAUAUAGGAUGAGGGUCGGGGCAAGAGGGGUUUGGGGGACAGCUGCUCAAGAAAGGCCCCAGGUAUCAGCCUGUUGGCAGAAUUUGCAAGACUUCCCCAACUCAGGAGUGGAAUAUUUUGUCAGGUUUGUAGGACAUAGGACAUCAACUUAGGGCCUUCAAGGACCACUAGUCCACAUGGCUCUGUGUCACCAAGUCUGUCAAGACCAACACCAGUGAAACUUCUACAAACAGACAAGAGAUGUAAGGACCUUGUUGCAUCCCAUUGAACCUCAGAUGCUUCCAGGAAUUCCUGGGGUCAUGCCAAAGACACAAAUGUAACCAUUAAGCACAUUCUCAGCAUAGCCUUUUAGAAAAAGACAGGAAAUUAAAAGAAUAAUAAGAUUUAAACAGACGGAGUUUCAUAAGGAAAAAAGCUGUCAAAGAAAGAGGUUCCUCCAAAAGCAAGAGGCACUAAUCAUUAAAGGGAGUCUACCAAAGAUGCAAAGAGUAGAUUAUUCUGAUACUAUUAUAUUGUUCCAGAAUACAGAAAAGGAAAAUUUCCAAAUUCUUUUUAUGAAGUAAAAAAAAAUCCCUGAUAUCAAAGCCUGUCCAAAGAUAAACAACAAACUGAGAAAAUAUAUUUUUAGCUCACAUUAAGGUCAAAGGGCUAAACUUGAUAAAAUAUAAAAAGUUCCUAGAGAUAAUUGGGAAACAACAACAACUGAUUGAAAAUGGGCAAGGAAGUGGGCAGUCGAUUCACAGAAAAGAAAACAAAAAUAGUUUUUUUUUUAUUAGAAAUGUUCAAGCUCACUAAUAAUAAGAGAUAUAAAGCAAUCAUAAGAUACCAUUUUUUUACCUUUCAAAAUAAUAGCUCCUCAAUAAAUAAUAGUUCCUCAAUUCCACAAUGUGUUAGUAAGCUAAGAGGAAUCUCAUAUCACUAGUGGAAUGGUCGUGAGGGCAACUGGGCAAUAUCUAUCAAGUCUACAGAAGAAUAUAACCCAGAAAUGUGAAUUCUAUGAUACUGUCCUACAGAGACAGCUGCAGUUGUAAAAUUACAUAUGCACCAGGUUUAUUCUGUGCAGCAAAAGAUCAGAAAAUAACUUACCAUCAAAAGGACAGGGUAAGACUGUUUCACUCUGUGUGUGUAUACAAUCUGCUUUUCAGUUUUUAAAAACUACAUGAAUACAUUGCUUUUGUAAAAACAAAAGGUACUAAAAUUAGGCUUAGUUAAAAUAGCACAAUGAUAAACACAGCCUAAAGAUUUAUGGAAUCACCUUUAAAACUCUUACCUAAUCUUAGAUGUCCCAAAUCACUAAUCUUUUGUUUCAAUUUUGCAGUUCAAAAAACUCAGACUUUAAUCUUUUUUUCUAAGUUUUAAAACAACUUUUGCUCUAAAUCAUUCACUCUGACCUAAAGAUAAAUGUCUACAUUGAGGCACUAGAAUUUCUGCUCAUGCUGCCUAAGCUGAGAAGACUUUUUAAAAUUUAUACUUUUUCAUCUGUCUCUUCUACUUUUACUAGAAUUAAGUAUAUUACUUGUCAGUCUUAUUUGGAACACAUAUAAAUCACAAUGGUCUUUCAUGCAGAGCCCAUUAUGAACAUGAACGGGGGUUCAUCAAAAUGAAGGCCCCAAAACUAAGCCCAAUAACUACAUGAAGAGGGUGGUGGUGAUUGAUGGGGAAAACAAAGCUUAAGCAAAAUCACAUGGCUGGCUGGCUGGCUGGCUGACCGUUCAGCUGCAGAAAGGCUAAGCCUGCUAUCCUGAGGAGAGGGCAGCAUCCCUGGUCCCAGAAAUCACUGGCAAUGCCCUGGGGAAGAAGUGGGAAGCCAGAAGGCUUAAAUUUCAUACUAAAGAACACUGUAAUUGUUCAAGUACUUAUUGACACCUGUUCUUCAGUACGACUUCUCUCUCCUAAAAGUAGGACCCUCCAACUUAGUUAUUUUCUGCUUUUCUGUGUGCUCAUGGCACCUCGUGGUGAGGUAAGGCAGGGAGGAUAUUAAUGCACUUCCACCAGAGCUCCUCUGUGAAAAUUCAAACAACAUCCUAGAAGAUACAUGAUGAACUGUAAAGACAGAAGAUGGAAGACAUGGUCUGCUUUGAGGGACUAGUGUCUCUUUUCCCAGAAGUUUUGACCAGAGGAUUCAAGCCAGGAAAAACUUUUGGCCUGGUCAGAGCACACCAAGGGAGUCCAAGGCAGGGAAACUCACAAGCAGGACCAUUAGUAGAUGAAGGAACAAAACACUGAGACAGAAGCCUGGAAUAGAGAACCUCCCAGGCCUCCAGAUUGUCUGUGGUCUGAAGACAGCUAAAGCUGAGGAACUCUCCAAUGAAAAUGAGCAUAAAGAAGGUCAGGCCCUAGCCAGAAGAACUGAAGCUGGCAAAGCACAGAGCCAAGGGCCACAGUGCCAUAUGUCAUCAGGAAGAACAGGGAGGCCACUGGGCCAUGGACACAAGACAGCAAAUUACC